CAGAAUCGUCACAUGAAGAUGGUAACAUCACAACGAAAACAACAACCUUUGCUGAUGGAACUACUGAAGGAAGAACACCCCUUCUUGAAACAGAAUCGUCACAUCAAGAUGGUACCAUCACAGCGGAA
Molecule: long non-coding RNA, 128 nt
Organism: Ostrea edulis (European flat oyster)
Lineage: Eukaryota; Metazoa; Mollusca; Bivalvia; Ostreida; Ostreidae
Exons: 3
Source: RefSeq, a predicted model, not a curated record